This 709-nucleotide ribosomal RNA is filed under the name Streptomyces sp. RNAcentral describes it as "bacterial SSU rRNA". It matches the Rfam family "Bacterial small subunit ribosomal RNA", at positions 20 to 745 of the family's 1533-position model. Lineage: Bacteria; Bacillati; Actinomycetota; Actinomycetes; Kitasatosporales; Streptomycetaceae. The record is from RNAcentral.
CGCGGGAAGGCGAGCGCUGGCGGCGUGCUUACACAUGCAAGUCGAACGAUGAAGCCCUUCGGGGUGGAUUAGUGGCGAACGGGUGAGUAACACGUGGGCAAUCUGCCCUUCACUCUGGGACAAGCCCUGGAAACGGGGUCUAAUACCGGAUAACACUCUGUCCCGCAUGGGACGGGGUUAAAAGCUCCGGCGGUGAAGGAUGAGCCCGCGGCCUAUCAGCUUGUUGGUGGGGUGAUGGCCUACCAAGGCGACGACGGGUAGCCGGCCUGAGAGGGCGACCGGCCACACUGGGACUGAGACACGGCCCAGACUCCUACGGGAGGCAGCAGUGGGGAAUAUUGCACAAUGGGCGAAAGCCUGAUGCAGCGACGCCGCGUGAGGGAUGACGGCCUUCGGGUUGUAAACCUCUUUCAGCAGGGAAGAAGCGAAAGUGACGGUACCUGCAGAAGAAGCGCCGGCUAACUACGUGCCAGCAGCCGCGGUAAUACGUAGGGCGCAAGCGUUGUCCGGAAUUAUUGGGCGUAAAGAGCUCGUAGGCGGCUUGUCACGUCGGAUGUGAAAGCCCGGGGCUUAACCCCGGGUCUGCAUUCGAUACGGGCUAGCUAGAGUGUGGUAGGGGAGAUCGGAAUUCCUGGUGUAGCGGUGAAAUGCGCAGAUAUCAGGAGGAACACCGGUGGCGAAGGCGGAUCUCUGGGGCCAUUACUGGACG